GCGGCCAUAGCGUUUGUGUCCCACCUUUGUCCCCUUGCCUCUUUCUUGCCUUUCAUGCUCCCGACAACAUCUCUCUCUCUUCCUUUAACCCUAACUUCUAUGCAUCUUCUCCCUCCUGUAUAUAUCUCUCUUUCUCUAAACCCAUCAUCAACCAAACUCACAAACAAGAACAAGAAGAACAAGGAUUCUGCUUUGGAUAUAUUACACAGAGACAUAUAGAGAGAGAGGUGUCUUGAUCUUGAAAAAAAAUGGCUUACGAGAAAGUCAAUGAGCUUAACCUUAAGGACACAGAGCUUCGUCUUGGAUUACCCGGAACGGAGCAAGAUAAGGAAGAACAAGAGGUUUCUUGCGUUAGAAGCAACAAGCGUCAACUACAGAGCGAUAACGAGGAAGAAUCUACACUUCCUACGAAGUAAGUGAAGAUUUGAGUUUCAAUCUAUUGUUUAAAAUUAUCUAUGAAUUAUUGUACUGAUGAUGAUUCUUUGCUAAUUUACAGAACUCAAAUCGUUGGUUGGCCUCCGGUGAGAUCUUACCGUAAAAACAACAACAGUGUGAGCUAUGUGAAAGUGAGUAUGGAUGGAGCUCCAUACCUUAGGAAAAUAGAUCUCAAGACAUACAAAAACUAUCCAGAGCUUCUCAAGGCAUUAGAGAACCUGUUCAAGUUCACGAUCGGUGAAUACAACGAAAGAGAAGGAUACAAAGGAUCUGGAGUUGUACCAACGUACGAGGAUAAAGAUGGAGAUUGGAUGUUGGUUGGUGAUGUUCCAUGGGAUAUGUUCUCUUCCUCUUGUAAGAGACUCAGGAUCAUGAAAGGAUCUGAUGCUCUUGCUUUGGACUCGGCCUUAUGAUGAUGAUGAUGAUGAUGAUGAAAG
This 872-nucleotide long non-coding RNA is filed under the name Brassica rapa (field mustard). Its description in RNAcentral is "long non-coding RNA (BRAP_LNC000578)". Lineage: Eukaryota; Viridiplantae; Streptophyta; Magnoliopsida; Brassicales; Brassicaceae. The record is from RNAcentral.